This 490-nucleotide ribosomal RNA is filed under the name uncultured bacterium. RNAcentral describes it as "partial 16S ribosomal RNA". It matches the Rfam family "Bacterial small subunit ribosomal RNA", at positions 30 to 507 of the family's 1533-position model. The record is from RNAcentral.
AUUGAACGCUGGCGGCAGGCCUAACACAUGCAAGUCGAACGGUAACAGGAAGAAGCUUGCUUCUUUGCUGACGAGUGGCGGACGGGUGUGUAAUGUCUGGGAAACUGCCUGAUGGAGGGGGAUAACUACUGGAAACGGUAGCUAAUACCGCAUAACGUCGCAAGACCAAAAAGGGGGACCUUCGGGCCUCUUGCCAUCUGAUGUGCCCAGAUGGGAUUAGCUAGUAGGUGGGGUAACGGCUCACCUAGGCGACGAUCCCUAGCUGGUCUGAGAGGAUGACCAGCCACACUGGAACUGAGACACGGUCCAGACUCCUACGGGAGGCAGCAGUGGGGAAUAUUGCACAAUGGGCGCAAGCCUGAUGCAGCCAUGCCGCGUGUAUGAAGAAGGCCUUCGGGUUGUAAAGUACUUUCAGCGGGGAGGAAGGGAGUAAAGUUAAUACCUUUGCUCAUUGACGUUACCCGAAGAAGAAGCACCGGCUAACUCCGUG